This 406-nucleotide ribosomal RNA is filed under the name uncultured bacterium. Its description in RNAcentral is "partial 16S ribosomal RNA". It matches the Rfam family "Bacterial small subunit ribosomal RNA", at positions 30 to 526 of the family's 1533-position model. The record is from RNAcentral.
AUUGAACGCUGGCGGCAGGACUAACACAUGCAAGUCGCACGAGUGGCGGACGGGUGAGUAAUGUCUGGGAAACUGCCCGAUGGAGGGGGAUAACUACUGGAAACGGUAGCUAAUACCGCAUCCCAUCAGAUGUGCCCAGAGGGGAUUAGCGAGUAGGUUGGGUAACGGCUCACCUAGGCGACGAUCCCUAGCUGGUCUGAGAGGAUGACCAGCCACACUGGAACUGAGACACGGUCCAGACGCCUACGGGAGGCAGCAGUGGGGAAUAUUGCACAAGGGGCUAAAGCCUGAUGCAGCCAUGCCGCGUGUAUGAAGAAGGCCUUCGGGUUGUAAAGUACUUUCAGCGAGGAGGCGUUACUCGCAGAAGAAGCACCGGCUAACUCCGUGCCAGCAGCCGCGGUAAUUC